CGAACGGGUGAGUAACGCGUGAAUAACCUGACUCAAAGAGGGGGGUAACAACGGGAAACUGUUGCUAAUACCGCAUGAGACCACAACACCGCAUGAUGAAGGGGUCAAAGAUUUAUCGCUUUGAGAGGGGUUCGCGUCCCAUUAGGUAGUUGGAGGGGUAACGGCCCACCAAGCCAACGAUGGGUAGCCGAGCUGAGAGGCUGAUCGGCCACACUGGAACUGAGACACGGUCCAG
This 235-nucleotide ribosomal RNA is filed under the name uncultured bacterium. RNAcentral's name for it is "partial 16S ribosomal RNA". It matches the Rfam family "Bacterial small subunit ribosomal RNA", at positions 99 to 334 of the family's 1533-position model. The record is from RNAcentral.